UGGGGAAUUUUGGACAAUGGGGGAAACCCUGAUCCAGCCAUCCCGCGUGUGCGAUGAAGGCCUUCGGGUUGUAAAGCACUUUUGGCAGGAAAGAAACGUCAUGGGUUAAUACCCCGUGAAACUGACGGUACCUGCAGAAUAAGCACCGGCUAACUACGUGCCAGCAGCCGCGGUAAUACGUAGGGUGCAAGCGUUAAUCGGAAUUACUGGGCGUAAAGCGUGCGCAGGCGGUUCGGAAAGAAAGAUGUGAAAUCCCAGAGCUCAACUUUGGAACUGCAUUUUUAACUACCGGGCUAGAGUGUGUCAGAGGGAGGUGGAAUUCCGCGUGUAGCAGUGAAAUGCGUAGAUAUGCGGAGGAACACCGAUGGCGAAGGCAGCCUCCUGGGAUAACACUGACGCUCAUGCACGAAAGCGUGGGUAGCAAACAGG
Molecule: ribosomal RNA, 429 nt
Filed under: Acidobacteriota bacterium
Lineage: Bacteria; Pseudomonadati; Acidobacteriota
Description: Acidobacteria bacterium partial 16S ribosomal RNA
Rfam family: Bacterial small subunit ribosomal RNA
Source: RNAcentral